GGGCCCGCACAAGCGGUGGAGCAUGUGGUUUAAUUCGAUGAUACGCGAGGAACCUUACCAGGGCUUAAAUGUAGGAUGCAUUAGGUAGAGAUACUUAUUUCUUCGGACUUCUUACAAGGUGCUGCAUGGUUGUCGUCAGCUCGUGCCGUGAGGUGUCAGGUUAAGUCCUAUAACGAGCGCAACCCUUGUCGUUAGUUGCCAUCAAGUAAAGUUGGGGACUCUAACGAGACUGCCGGUGCAAACCGAGAGGAAGGUGGGGAUGACGUCAAAUCAUCACGGCCCUUACGUCCUGGGCUACACACGUGCUACAAUGGUAUGGACAGAGAGCAGCCACUAUGCGAAUAGGAGCGAAUCUACAAACCAUAUCACAGUUCGGAUCGGAGUCUGCAACUCGACUCCGUG
RNAcentral lists this ribosomal RNA (402 nucleotides) under uncultured bacterium. Its description in RNAcentral is "bacterial SSU rRNA". It matches the Rfam family "Bacterial small subunit ribosomal RNA", at positions 917 to 1322 of the family's 1533-position model. The record is from RNAcentral.